Molecule: transfer RNA, 76 nt
Filed under: Citrobacter freundii
Lineage: Bacteria; Pseudomonadati; Pseudomonadota; Gammaproteobacteria; Enterobacterales; Enterobacteriaceae
Also listed under: 4 other names
Description: tRNA-Lys
Rfam family: tRNA
About the family: Transfer RNA (tRNA) molecules are approximately 80 nucleotides in length. Their secondary structure includes four short double-helical elements and three loops (D, anti-codon, and T loops).
Source: RNAcentral
GGGACGUUAGCUCAGUUGGUAGAGCAGUUGACUUUUAAUCAAUUGGUCGCAGGUUCGAAUCCUGCACGACCCACCA